RNAcentral lists this ribosomal RNA (254 nucleotides) under uncultured bacterium. Its description in RNAcentral is "partial 16S ribosomal RNA". It matches the Rfam family "Bacterial small subunit ribosomal RNA", at positions 524 to 776 of the family's 1533-position model. The record is from RNAcentral.
UACGAAGGGAGCUAGCGUUGUUCGGAAUUACUGGGCGUAAAGGGUGCGUAGGCGGUUAUGAAAGUCAGAUGUGAAAUCCUUGGGCUUAACCUGAGAAUUGCAUUUGAUACUGCAUUGACUAGAGAUCGAGAGGGGAAAGUGGAAUUACGAGUGUAGAGGUGAAAUUCGUAGAUAUUCGUAAGAACACCAGUGGCGAAGGCGACUUUCUGGCUCGAUACUGACGCUGAAGCACGAAAGCGUGGGGAGCAAACAGG